Molecule: ribosomal RNA, 480 nt
Filed under: uncultured Flavobacteriaceae bacterium
Lineage: Bacteria; Pseudomonadati; Bacteroidota; Flavobacteriia; Flavobacteriales; Flavobacteriaceae
Description: bacterial SSU rRNA
Rfam family: Bacterial small subunit ribosomal RNA
Source: RNAcentral
GAUGAACGCUAGCGGCAGGCUUAACACAUGCAAGUCGAGGGGUAACAUGGUAGCUUGCUAUUGAUGACGACCGGCGCACGGGUGCGUAACGCGUAUACAAUCUGCCUUGUACAGAGGGAUAGCCCAGAGAAAUUUGGAUUAAGACCUCAUAAUGUUUAGAUGUGGCAUCAUGUUUAAAUUAAAGGUUACGGUACAAGAUGAGUAUGCGUCCUAUUAGCUAGUUGGUGUGGUAACGGCAUACCAAGGCUACGAUAGGUAGGGGUCCUGAGAGGGAGAUCCCCCACACUGGUACUGAGACACGGACCAGACUCCUACGGGAGGCAGCAGUGAGGAAUAUUGGACAAUGGGCGGAAGCCUGAUCCAGCCAUGCCGCGUGUAGGAAGACUGCCCUAUGGGUUGUAAACUACUUUUAUACAGGAAGAAUAUGAUCUACGAGUAGAUUUUUGACGGUACUGUAUGAAUAAGCACCGGCUAACUCCG